CCCGCACGCCCCACACGCCCCGCAUGCCCCACACCGAGGUCGCGGCGGCGCGCGAGGUAACGACACAGACCGGCACGGCCUGUGCGAGGACCACGAGUUCCAGUGCGACAACCGGGAGUGUAUUCGAAUGGAGUUCCGCUGUGACUCUCGUGUGGACUGUCUGGACGGGUCGGACGAGGCGGAGUGCGCGGCCACGCCCGGCCCGCCCCCGCCCCCG
Molecule: long non-coding RNA, 217 nt
Organism: Papilio machaon (common yellow swallowtail)
Lineage: Eukaryota; Metazoa; Arthropoda; Insecta; Lepidoptera; Papilionidae
Exons: 3
Source: RefSeq, a predicted model, not a curated record